RNAcentral lists this small RNA (28 nucleotides) under Bombyx mori (domestic silkworm). RNAcentral's name for it is "ovarian small RNA-22495". The record is from RNAcentral. Lineage: Eukaryota; Metazoa; Arthropoda; Insecta; Lepidoptera; Bombycidae.
UAGCUCAUUGGAGUCGGUCGCAUUAGGA